This 301-nucleotide ribosomal RNA is filed under the name uncultured bacterium. RNAcentral's name for it is "partial 16S ribosomal RNA". It matches the Rfam family "Bacterial small subunit ribosomal RNA", at positions 509 to 807 of the family's 1533-position model. The record is from RNAcentral.
CAGUCGCCACGGUAAUACAGAGGGUGCAAGCGUUAAUCGGAAUUACUGGGCGUAAAGCGCGCGUAGGUGGUUCGCCAAGUUGGAUGUGAAAUCCCCGGGCUCAACCUGGGAACUGCAUCCAAAACUGGUGAGCUAGAGUACGGUAGAGGGUAGUGGAAUUUCCUGUGUAGCGGUGAAAUGCGUAGAUAUAGGAAGGAACACCAGUGGCGAAGGCGACUACCUGGACUGAUACUGACACUGAGGUGCGAAAGCGUGGGGAGCAAACAGGAUUAGAUACCCCCGUAGUCCCUGUCUCUUAUAC